UACAGAGGUCUCAAGCGUUGUUCGGAUUCAUUGGGCGUAAAGGGUGCGUAGGCGGCGCGGUAAGUCGGGUGUGAAAUCUCGGGGCUUAACUCCGAAACUGCAUUCGAUACUGCCGUGCUUGAGGACUGGAGAGGAGACUGGAAUUUACGGUGUAGCGGUGAAAUGCGUAGAUACCGUAAGGAAGACCAGUGGCGAAGGCGGGUCUCUGGACAGUUCCUGACGCUGAGGCACGAAGGUCAGGGGAGCAAACGGG
This 253-nucleotide ribosomal RNA is filed under the name uncultured bacterium. RNAcentral's name for it is "partial 16S ribosomal RNA". It matches the Rfam family "Bacterial small subunit ribosomal RNA", at positions 524 to 776 of the family's 1533-position model. The record is from RNAcentral.